Molecule: transfer RNA, 85 nt
Filed under: Gammaproteobacteria bacterium 13_2_20CM_66_19
Lineage: Bacteria; Pseudomonadati; Pseudomonadota; Gammaproteobacteria
Description: tRNA-Val
Source: RNAcentral
GCCUCUUUACCGAGAUUCGCACUUACCCCGCCGGAUCGCCCUUACAAGGCGAAUGUCGGCGGUUCGAGCCCGUCAGCACCCACCA